This 566-nucleotide unclassified non-coding RNA is filed under the name Hevea brasiliensis (rubber tree). Lineage: Eukaryota; Viridiplantae; Streptophyta; Magnoliopsida; Malpighiales; Euphorbiaceae. The record is from RNAcentral.
AAAUUAAAUUUAAUAAAUUUUAAUCACAAGAGCGCUAAAAUAAUAAAAUAAUUUUUUUUAAACUGUUUUUCUAAUAGCAUAUAAAAUGAUACUUUUAUAUUAGAAAAGCAGUUUUGACCACGUAAAUUCAAUGCCAAACAGACAUUGAAAAUGACUUGCAAAAGGUGCAGAAAUUGAAAAAUAGGUGGCAAGAAAGGGAAAUGAGACCUUGUAGAGACUUGAAUGAUUAAGAUUUAAGGGACAUUUUAUGCACAUAUGCUGCUUGUGCACCAAAUGAUAAAAAUCCAAAUUGAGGGGAACCCUAACAAGCAUUUUGGCACAUUAUGAUUGUGUGGCCACCAAAGCUAUUUAAAUUUCUAUCUCUGUAUUCAUGCUAUUGAAAUUUCGAUCUCUGUAGUCAUGACUUAUCCACAGAAUUAUUCAUUGCCAUCUUGUUGCCAUGAAGGGUAGCCGUUAAAACUUAUAUUAUAUCUCACAGUGAAUUUAUUUAGCUUGGAGAGAUUUUCAAAUCAAGUGUUUUAAGAUUUUGAAUGCCAGGCUUAAAAAUGAUAAAUUUAUCUGUUUGG